CAACCCUCAGGCACUGCCUGGUGUUGGGGCACCACCGCUGUGGGCCCCCAAAUUCAGCGGCGGGCACGCCACGGACCCGAGCGUAGUAGCUUACCUCGCUAAGGGUUCCGGGCGGGUUCCGGCCGUUAAACACCCCAAUUCUAA
Molecule: unclassified non-coding RNA, 144 nt
Filed under: uncultured Chaetosphaeria
Lineage: Eukaryota; Fungi; Ascomycota; Sordariomycetes; Chaetosphaeriales; Chaetosphaeriaceae
Description: sequence contains ITS2
Source: RNAcentral